UACACAGUGCUGCAUAACCCGUUAAUAAAAGAAACAGGGUAAACAUUCUUGACUCCACCAACAGAUAGGUUUAUGCCUAAUCUAACUAGUUGUCUAAUGUUUUUUUUUUGUUGCUAAAAACUAGUUGUAUAAUGUUAUCACAGUUAUUAUCAAUAAGGACCCGUGUGUAUAUAUAUACAAUACUAAAAGAAGAAUAAUCUCAACAGCUAAAGUGUCCACAUCAGAUUAAAUAAUCCACCAAUCAGAAAGACUUAAUUAGCCACGUCACAAGAGUUUUCUCCUUAAAACAAAAAUUGGUCUUUUUUUUGGGCUCAGUUUACUUUUUUAAAUGUCUCAAUUCAAGCCCAAGCUUACUUUAGUCCCAGAAGCGUUGGUUUUCAUCUUCUCCAACUCUUCCAUCUGCACUUCGCCGUUCUGCCGUUACGGUAACCCACUCUUCAACAAUAUGUUAUGAUCUUAAAUCAUUUGUAGUGGUUUCUUUCCACACCAAUAUGUUAUGAUCUCAAAUACUUCUUUACUGGUUUCGUUCCACCUCCCCCUC
RNAcentral lists this long non-coding RNA (541 nucleotides) under Brassica napus (rape). RNAcentral describes it as "long non-coding RNA (BNAP_LNC016593)". The record is from RNAcentral. Lineage: Eukaryota; Viridiplantae; Streptophyta; Magnoliopsida; Brassicales; Brassicaceae.